This 162-nucleotide long non-coding RNA is filed under the name Dendronephthya gigantea. RNAcentral describes it as "uncharacterized LOC114529455, transcript variant X3". Lineage: Eukaryota; Metazoa; Cnidaria; Anthozoa; Malacalcyonacea; Nephtheidae. The record is from RNAcentral.
AAAAUGGAAGUGAACAAGAUUUUUGCAGAGAUUUUCCUUGGUCAAUUGAGCAACCAGCCACAUUAGCUGCUGUAGAUAUGGACUUUACUGUCAGAGGAAAAUUGGAAGUGAACAAAAUUUUUGCAGAGAUUUUCCUUGGUCAAGAGUGCAACCAGCCACAUU